AGCAUGGGUAUAGGAGAAUGUUUAUUUGCUACUCUGCUUGACCUGCCUGCUAGAGGGCGCCGAGCAUGAAAUAUAUAUAUAUAUAUAUAUAUAUAUAUAUAUAUAUAACUAUAUGUAGUUCAUUAAAGGGGUAACCUGUAUACGUCAGUGUAACUUAGAUGGUAAAAAUAGCUUUGACAGUGUACACAAAUGUCACUGAUUUAAGGAAUUAUUCCUGUAAUACAGUGCUAAUAAUGUAAUUUACAAGCUGUCUGUUUAUGUUGCCUAUGGGUAGAAAUGUGUUUAAUUUUUA
This 292-nucleotide long non-coding RNA is filed under the name Carica papaya (papaya). Its description in RNAcentral is "long non-coding RNA (CPAP_LNC014539)". The record is from RNAcentral. Lineage: Eukaryota; Viridiplantae; Streptophyta; Magnoliopsida; Brassicales; Caricaceae.